Molecule: transfer RNA, 190 nt
Filed under: Pneumocystis jirovecii
Lineage: Eukaryota; Fungi; Ascomycota; Pneumocystomycetes; Pneumocystales; Pneumocystaceae
Description: tRNA-Pseudo(ATG)
Source: RNAcentral
AAUUUUAUAAUCUAAUUUAUAUGAUAAUAUUUUAUGAUAUUAAAAUUAAAUUAUAAUACGUUAUAAUAUGACAUAGUCAAUGAUAAUUAAUUUAAUAAAUUAAUAAUAAAAUAAAAAUAUAAAAUUUAUAAAUUUAUAUAUAUAUGAUUAUUAUCAUGAAAUAUAAUUUUUAUAAUUCUAACUAAAAUUU